AAACAAGCCGAAUCUAACCCAGGAGCGGGGGAACCAAGUUUUGGGGUGAACGCUUUGCUCAGGCAGUGCGAUGCUAACGUCAAUCUGGCUGAAAUCAGCGAGGGUGGUCUUCUCUACCCGAACCCGGCAGCUAACCUCGUAGGCGAAUAGAGAGAGGA
This 158-nucleotide small RNA is filed under the name bovine gut metagenome. RNAcentral's name for it is "ydaO/yuaA leader". It matches the Rfam family "c-di-AMP riboswitch aptamer (ydaO/yuaA leader)". From Rfam's summary of the family: This family represents a conserved RNA structure found upstream of the ydaO and yuaA genes in Bacillus subtilis and related genes in other bacteria. The ydaO/yuaA element is thought to act as a genetic "off" switch for the ydaO and yuaA genes in its native state. It is believed that the element may be triggered during osmotic shock leading to activation of ydaO, a predicted amino acid transporter gene, and members of the yuaA-yubG operon which code for KtrA and KtrB K+ transporters. The record is from RNAcentral.